RNAcentral lists this transfer RNA (74 nucleotides) under Enterococcus faecium. RNAcentral's name for it is "tRNA-Met". It matches the Rfam family "tRNA". From Rfam's summary of the family: Transfer RNA (tRNA) molecules are approximately 80 nucleotides in length. Their secondary structure includes four short double-helical elements and three loops (D, anti-codon, and T loops). The record is from RNAcentral. Lineage: Bacteria; Bacillati; Bacillota; Bacilli; Lactobacillales; Enterococcaceae.
CGCGGGAUGGAGCAGUCUGGUAGCUCGUCGGGCUCAUAACCCGAAGAUCGUAGGUUCAAAUCCUGCUCCCGCAA